CCCUUAGAUGUUCUGGGCCGCACGCGCGCUACGCUGAUGCAUUCAACGAGUCUAAAACCUGGUCUGAUAGGGCUGGGUAAUCUUUUGAAUGUGCAUCGUGAUUGGGAUAGAUGAUUGCAAUUCUUCAUCUUCAACGAGGAAUGCCUAGUAAACGCAAGUCAUCAGCUUGCAUUGAUUACGUCCCUGCCCUUUGUACACACCGCCCGUCGCUCCUACCGAUUGAAUGUUCCGAUGAAUACCAUGGACUGAGAGUAUGAAUGGGUUCGCCUAUUUCUGCUUCUCGGGAAGUGGAGUAAAUCUUAACAUUUAGAGGAAGGAGAAGUCGUAACA
This 330-nucleotide ribosomal RNA is filed under the name uncultured eukaryote. RNAcentral's name for it is "partial 18S ribosomal RNA". It matches the Rfam family "Eukaryotic small subunit ribosomal RNA", at positions 1470 to 1796 of the family's 1831-position model. The record is from RNAcentral.